UGAAGAUCAAGAUGGCGGACCAGAUGUCCAGAGACGUGUCCUGGUCUCUACCCGCUCCUGAGCGUUAGCCGGACAACUUCUGGAACAAGUCUCACACGUCCUGGAGGUUUCCUCGUCGGACGCGGUGUGCGAUCGCUCACUUCCUCUGGUUGUCGGUGAGCGUGAUGCCCUGUGACGACACUUUGAAGUGGACCACGGUGGAGGCCGGCGGCGGGUCCAUGGCGAGCGUCUCCGUGGUCGCCUUCUGCACCGCCUGGUGUCCCGUCAGCGACUCCAGCUCCACGGAGCCGAGCUCGGAGCGAAAAACAAAGCCUCUUCAGUUUGGGCCGAAUCGUGCAAAACCAAUUCCAGAUGGCACAGAGCCACGUGGGCACGACUGCCAGCCUCCACCAGCCAAUGACCCCCAACACACACACACACACACACACACACACACACUUCCCUGAUCACAGAGACUGACGGUUCCGUGGCUCAGACUGAGAACAUACCUUCACGCUCGGUGCGGAGAUAAAUUCCACGAAUCAAUAAAUCCACAGUGAGGUGAUCUGGUUGUCUGGAGCCGAUAUCUCCCCCCGACCUCGGCCCACGCUGACGUGAGCGGGUUGUGGACGGCGUGAGGACAA
Long non-coding RNA from Scophthalmus maximus (turbot), 623 nucleotides. RefSeq lists it as uncharacterized. NCBI's taxonomy places the organism in Eukaryota, Metazoa, Chordata, Actinopteri, Pleuronectiformes, Scophthalmidae. The transcript has 3 exons. The record is from RefSeq and is a predicted model, not a curated record.